UACGGGGGGGGCAAGCGUUGUUCGGAAUUACUGGGCGUAAAGGGCUCGUAGGCGGCCAACUAAGUCGGAUGUGAAAUCCCCGGGCUCAACCCGGGAACUGCGUCCGAUACUGGCAGGCUUGAAUCCGGGAGAGGGAUGUGGAAUUCCAAGUGUAGCGGUGAAAUGCGUAGAUAUCUGGAGGAACACCGGUGGCGAAGGCGGCAUCCUGGACCGGUAUUGACGCUGAUGCGCGAAAGCCAGGGGAGCAAACGGG
This 253-nucleotide ribosomal RNA is filed under the name uncultured bacterium. RNAcentral describes it as "partial 16S ribosomal RNA". It matches the Rfam family "Bacterial small subunit ribosomal RNA", at positions 524 to 776 of the family's 1533-position model. The record is from RNAcentral.